AGUGAACGCUGGCGGUAGGCCUAACACAUGCAAGUCGAACGGCAGCACAGUAAGAGCUUGCUCUUACGGGUGGCGAGUGGCGGACGGGUGCGGAAUACAUCGGAAUCUACUUUUUCGUGGGGGAUAACGUAGGGAAACUUACGCUAAUACCGCAUACGACCUACGGGUGAAAGCAGGGGAUCUUCGGACCUUGCGCGAUUGAAUGAGCCGAUGUCGGAUUAGCUAGUUGGCGGGGUAAAGGCCCACCAAGGCGACGAUCCGUAGCUGGUCUGAGAGGAUGAUCAGCCACACUGGAUCUGAGACACGGUCCAGACUCCUACGGGAGGCAGCAGUGGGGAAUAUUGGACAAUGGGCGCAAGCCUGAUCCAGCCAUACCGCGUGGGUGAAGAAGGCCUUCGGGUUGUAAAGCCCUUUUGUUGGGAAAGAAAAGCAGCAGGUUAAUACCCCGCUGUUCUGACGGUACCCAAAGAAUAAGCACCGGCUAACUUCGUG
This 492-nucleotide ribosomal RNA is filed under the name uncultured bacterium. RNAcentral describes it as "partial 16S ribosomal RNA". It matches the Rfam family "Bacterial small subunit ribosomal RNA", at positions 29 to 507 of the family's 1533-position model. The record is from RNAcentral.